RNAcentral lists this long non-coding RNA (933 nucleotides) under Marmota monax (woodchuck). The record is from RNAcentral. Lineage: Eukaryota; Metazoa; Chordata; Mammalia; Rodentia; Sciuridae.
UGUAACUGAAAAUUAAGGAUAUAUGUAUGUGAUGGAGAGGUGACAUUGUGUAUUUACACAGAGUAGUUUGGGAAUUGUGUUUAUAUGUGUUAGGGAUACAUGAUACAGUUAUUUCUUAGAAUUGGAGUAGAGGUAAAGUGUUUUCUACUUGCCCAUGAUUAUCUGGGAUUUGUAAGUGAGAAGAAGUGUAUUUUAUGAUCUGGUGGAGCUAGAUCUUGUGUGUGCAAAUUGGUUUGUGGAUUCUGUUAGUUUCUUCAUUUUGAAUGAGGUUGUUAGAAAAGUGUAUUUGUUUGGAGAAUGCUGUGACAUUUCUAGAUGUGGAUAGGAAUGUUUGGCUGGUGAGGUUGGCAGGGUGCUUUCUGAAUAUGUAGAAUACUGUGUAGUGUUUGGGGGAAUCUCUAUAUUCACGUUUUGGAUAUAUUUCUGUGUCUGUCUCACCUGUGUGGAAAUUAUGUAGGUAUUGAUCCUUAUAUAGAGAUUAAUGUGUGCAUGGUUUUUCUUGUGUGCUUGUAUUGAACUCUGCCUCAUGCAUGCAAGAUUAGCAUUUUUUGUGUUAUAUGUGUAGGCACCCAAGUGAUUAGGUGUAUGUUUAUGGAUUUGUGGAUGUGUGUAUUUAGAAUCUAUGUGUAUAAAAGAUGCUCAGGAAUUGUGUUUGUGUUUAUUGUGGCAUGAAAUUCUUGAAGAUACUUUUGAUAUUAGUACAUGGGUGUGGUUCUGGUAUAUAAUUAUGUUUUAGUCUCAUGCAUUUGAGAAACCUAGGUUGUUGGUAGCUGACCAUGUCUUGAAUUCAUGGGGGUUCCUGGGGUGCAUACUCUGGCAGAUGUGAGAGGUUCAUAGUGUGCUUCCAAAUAGAUUUUAUUCGGAUGUUGUAGAAUGUAUGUAAUUUAGAACUGUGGAAGGGGAUAGUAGAGGAUAGGAAAGGUAGCAGAAUNN